AUUUCAAUGUUACAGAAUGGAUUUUUUUCUCUAUCAAAAUAUGAGCAUAUAUUUCUUUGUUUAAUUUAUUUAACUCGCUUUCUUGCUAUAGGUGGCUUCAAUUUUAUUCUAUUAAGUUCUCAUAACAUGUAUAUAUCAUUGUCAUGAAAGUAUUUCUUUGAAAUAUCUCUCUUCAUCUCUUAUCAAAAAAUUCUCACAUCUAAC
Molecule: long non-coding RNA, 204 nt
Filed under: Physcomitrium patens
Lineage: Eukaryota; Viridiplantae; Streptophyta; Bryopsida; Funariales; Funariaceae
Description: long non-coding RNA (PPAT_LNC002804)
Source: RNAcentral